ACACUCCUGCGGGAGGCAGCAGUGGGGAAUAUUGGACAAUGGGCGCAAGCCUGAUCCAGCCAUGCCGCGUGAGUGAUGAAGGCCCUAGGGUUGUAAAGCUCUUUCACCGGUGAAGAUAAUGACGGUAACCGGAGAAGAAGCCCCGGCUAACUUCGUGCCAGCAGCCGCGGUAAUACGAAGGGGGCUAGCGUUGUUCGGAUUUACUGGGCGUAAAGCGCACGUAGGCGGACUAUUAAGUCAGGGGUGAAAUCCCGGGGCUCAACCCCGGAACUGCCUUUGAUACUGGUAGUCUUGAGUUCGAGAGAGGUGAGUGGGAUUCCGAGUGUAGAGGUGAAAUUCGUAGAUAUUCGGAGGAACACCAGUGGCGAAGGCGGCUCACUGGCUCGAUACUGACGCUGAGGUGCGAAAGCGUGGGGAGCAAACAGGAUUAGAAACCCGUGUAGUCCCAUG
RNAcentral lists this ribosomal RNA (450 nucleotides) under uncultured organism. Its description in RNAcentral is "partial 16S ribosomal RNA". It matches the Rfam family "Bacterial small subunit ribosomal RNA", at positions 333 to 799 of the family's 1533-position model. The record is from RNAcentral.